UACGUGGGGGGCAAGCGUUGUUCGGAAUUACUGGGCGUAAAGGGCUCGUAGGCGGCCAACUAAGUCAGAUGUGAAAUCCCCAGGCUUAACCUGGGAACUGCGUCUGAUACUGGAUGGCUUGAAUUCGGGAGAGGGAUGCAGAAUUCCAGGUGUAGCGGUGAAAUGCGUAGAUAUCUGGAGGAACACCGGUGGCGAAGGCGGCAUCCUGGACCAACAUUGACGCUGAGGAGCGAAAGCCAGGGGAGCAAACGGG
Molecule: ribosomal RNA, 253 nt
Filed under: uncultured bacterium
Lineage: Bacteria
Description: partial 16S ribosomal RNA
Rfam family: Bacterial small subunit ribosomal RNA
Source: RNAcentral